This 273-nucleotide ribosomal RNA is filed under the name uncultured prokaryote. Its description in RNAcentral is "partial 16S ribosomal RNA". The record is from RNAcentral.
CCCUAUGGGGCGCAGCUUGUUUCGUCCUUGUGCCGUGGCUUCGUCCCAUGCCGCAUGCGGCGUCAUGCCCAAGACGCGAUGCCGCUCCCGGGGGGUACGGUGUUCGCGUAGGUCGUUGAGGUGGCCGUUGACCUCUUCCACGUCGGAAGCAGGCGUCACGCUGUUGAGCGCGAAAUCGGGCGACAGGCGAUUCGGCCAGACCUGGUGGAUGCGCUCGACCCUGCCCGUGGCCUCGGGGGUAUUGGCGACGACGAAGGGCACGUCGUAGAACUU